RNAcentral lists this ribosomal RNA (650 nucleotides) under Schistocerca interrita. RNAcentral's name for it is "partial 16S ribosomal RNA". Lineage: Eukaryota; Metazoa; Arthropoda; Insecta; Orthoptera; Acrididae. The record is from RNAcentral.
UUAUUUAUUUUAUUAUAUUUAUUUUUUGUUUAUUUAAUUAUUUAAUAAAAAUAAUUUUGUUUAAUUUUGUCUUAGUAUAUUUUAUAGAACUGAUUUUUAUAAUUAUAGUUUAUUGGUAAUGUAAGUGUAUUAUGAAAUAUUAUUUUAAAUUUUAAAAAGUAAAUUUUAUUUAUUGUACCUUUUGUAUCAGGGUUUAUCAAAAUUUUAGUAUUUAUUUUACUUGUCUCGAUUUAGGUUGAUUUAUAAAUAAUUUAUAGUUAAUGUAUCAUAAUUAUUAUUAAAUUAUUUAUAGAAAUGAAAUGUUAAUCGUUUCCUAAGAUAUCUAGUUUCUUAAGAAAAAAUUUAAUUUUUUAAAGUUAAUUGUUUUUAUUUAAUUUUUUAGGUAUAAGUAUUAACUUAUUUAUUCUUUAAGGGAUAAGCUUUGAAGUUAAUAACCUAUAAUUUGUUUAUUAAAAUAUAAUAGUAAGCUUUAGACCAGCUAUCUUUAAGAUUACGUUUUAGUUCAUUAUUUUUUAUUUUGAUUUUAUAGAUAUUUUAGGUUUUUUAUUAAGAUUAUUAAUUUAAUUUUUUAAUUUUUGUAAUAAUGAUGGAAUUAGUAUAUUUAUUUGUAUAUAAUUUUUACCCUGGGAAUCUAUAAUAAGGAACUAGGC